UGGCAAUGAUGACUAUCUUAGGACACCUUUGGAAUCAAACAUGAAACCAACCUUAAUUCUGAGCCAC
Molecule: small nucleolar RNA, 67 nt
Organism: Xenopus tropicalis (tropical clawed frog)
Lineage: Eukaryota; Metazoa; Chordata; Amphibia; Anura; Pipidae
Gene: SNORD58
Rfam family: Small nucleolar RNA SNORD58
About the family: snoRNA U58 is found in introns 1, 3 and 6 of the ribosomal protein RPL17 gene in humans. U58 is a member of the C/D class of snoRNA which contain C (UGAUGA) and D (CUGA) box motifs. Most of the members of the box C/D family function in directing site-specific 2'-O-methylation of substrate RNAs.
Source: Ensembl